AGAGUUUGAUCCUGGCUCAGAUUGAACGCUGGCGGCAGGCUUAACACAUGCAAGUCGAGCGGUAACAGAGAGGAGCUUGCUUCUCUGCUGACGAGCGGCGGACGGGUGAGUAAUGCCUGGGAAUCUGCCUGAUAGUGGGGGAUAACUUGCCGAAAGGUAAGCUAAUACCGCGUACGUCCUACGGGAGAAAGCAGGGGAUCUUCGGACCUUGCGCUAUCAGAUGAGCCCAGGCCGGAUUAGCUAGUUGGUGGGGUAAUGGCCCACCAAGGCGACGAUCCAUAGCUGGUCUGAGAGGAUGAUCAGCCACACCGGGACUGAGACACGGCCCGGACUCCUACGGGAGGCAGCAGUGGGGAAUAUUGGACAAUGGGGGGAACCCUGAUCCAGCCAUGCCGCGUGUGUGAAGAAGGUCUUCGGAUUGUAAAGCACUUUAAGUUGGGAGGAAGGGUUUUUGGUUAAUACCCAAGAAUUUUGACGUUACCAACAGAAUAAGCACCGGCUAACUUCGUGCCAGCAGCCGCGGUAAUACGAAGGGUGCAAGCGUUAAUCGGAAUUACUGGGCGUAAAGCGCGCGUAGGUGGUUUGUUAAGUUGGAAGUGAAAGCCCCGGGCUUAACCUGGGAAUGGCUUUCAAAACUGGCGAGCUAGAGUACGGUAGAGGGUAGUGGAAUUUCCUGUGUAGCGGUGAAAUGCGUAGAUAUAGGAAGGAACAUCAGUGGCGAAGGCGACUACCUGGACUGAUACUGACACUGAGGUGCGAAAGCGUGGGGAGCAAACAGGAUUAGAUACCCUGGUAGUCCACGCCGUAAACGAUGUCAACUAGUUGUUGGGGGCCUUGUGUCCUUAGUAACGCAGCUAACGCCAUUUAGUUGACCGCCUGGGGAGUACGGCCGCAGGUUAAACUCAAUGAAUUGGCGGGGGCCCGCCCAGCGGGGGAGCAUGUGGUUUAAUUCAAGCAACCCCAAGAACCCUACCUGGCCUUUGACAUGUACCAAAUUUCCAGAAAUGAUUGGGGGCCUUCCGGAAACC
RNAcentral lists this ribosomal RNA (1028 nucleotides) under uncultured bacterium. RNAcentral describes it as "bacterial SSU rRNA". It matches the Rfam family "Bacterial small subunit ribosomal RNA", at positions 8 to 1033 of the family's 1533-position model. The record is from RNAcentral.